GGAGCAGCCCGAGGCUUCCCCAGCGCUGGCUCCAGGCACCCGCGGCCAGGGCCGGGGGCGGGGAGCA
Molecule: microRNA precursor, 67 nt
Filed under: Cavia aperea (Brazilian guinea pig)
Lineage: Eukaryota; Metazoa; Chordata; Mammalia; Rodentia; Caviidae
Description: miRNA (ENSCAPG00000002628.1)
Source: RNAcentral